This 506-nucleotide ribosomal RNA is filed under the name uncultured bacterium. RNAcentral describes it as "partial 16S ribosomal RNA". It matches the Rfam family "Bacterial small subunit ribosomal RNA", at positions 29 to 523 of the family's 1533-position model. The record is from RNAcentral.
AGUGAACGCUGGCGGUAGGCCUAACACAUGCAAGUCGAACGGCAGCACAGGAGAGCUUGCUCUCUGGGUGGCGAGUGGCGGACGGGUGAGGAAUACAUCGGAAUCUACUCUGUCGUGGGGGAUAACGUAGGGAAACUUACGCUAAUACCGCAUACGACCUACGGGUGAAAGCAGGGGACCUUCGGGCCUUGCGCGAUUGAAUGAGCCGAUGUCGGAUUAGCUAGUUGGCGGGGUAAAGGCCCACCGAGGCGACGAACCGUAGAGGGACUGGACGGAUGGUCAGCCACACUGAAACGGAGACACGGUCCAGACUCCUACGGGAGGCAGCAGUGGGGAAUAUUGGACAAUGGGCGCAAGCCUGAUUCAGCCAUACCGCGUGGGUGGAGAAGGCCUUCGGGUUGUAAAGCCCUUUUGUUGGGAAAGAAAUCCAGCUGGCUAAUACCCGGUUGGGAUGACGGUACCCAAAGAAUAAGCACCGGCUAACUUCGUGCCAGCAGCCGCAGUAA